This 58-nucleotide transfer RNA is filed under the name Pseudostenophylax fumosus. RNAcentral's name for it is "tRNA-Ser". The record is from RNAcentral. Lineage: Eukaryota; Metazoa; Arthropoda; Insecta; Trichoptera; Limnephilidae.
UCUUAAAUUAAGCCGCUAACUUAAUUAAUAGUGUGUAAUCAUUAAAGGUUCUAUUACU